Long non-coding RNA from Esox lucius (northern pike), 3010 nucleotides. NCBI's taxonomy places the organism in Eukaryota, Metazoa, Chordata, Actinopteri, Esociformes, Esocidae. The record is from Ensembl.
CCUGAACUCGAAUUGCCUCAGUAGUAAUAAAACGACUCCAGACGAGAUAAUAAUGACAACUUCACUGAUUUUCGCGCUGCUGUUUGUCACGGUGUCGUGUCUACCUGUCCCAGUCUUGCCGGUGAGUCUUUCACUGGUAUUUUCAGUAUGCCAUUGGUUACGCAGUACCGUGGGAAACGGGGAUCAACCCUGUUUGCAGCGGUGAGACCUGAUACUUAGAAAGAACUAUACGGCGUUGAGAUGCUUUGUCAGCACCUGCCGUGUGUUGACCGUAUCACGGCAAGUGCGCACUAACGACGGCUUCAAGGUAUAGAGGACAAGUUGAGUACUUUACUAAUAGUUUCCGUAAGGGGUGUUGAUACGUUAAAGGUGCUAAACUGUCAUGUUCAAGUCCCACACGGUUCAGAUUAGUGACUCGGAAGUUGUCUACUGACACCGAUAGCUGAGACAAUGUUCAUGGACGCACGUACCUCAUCUUGUCGUUGGUGUGCACGUGUGGUUGUGAGAGAAUAAUUCAUAUCAGGGAACAUACUUACCAGAUAUAGAAUCUAGAAUGUGUUAAUUCAGUUAAUUUGAAUAAGACUAUGAUAGAGGCAAUGUGUGGGAAAUCUAUAUCUGGACAUGUAAUGAGACGAGCGAUUAAGAUAUUCAUUUCACAGAUCCAUAUCAACAGUGACGGAACUGCAUGCCACAAUUAUCUAUCUCUGAAUUUGUGGAAGAGUGAAAAAAAUAAAAGAACACAAAAAUUGCAGCGACUGUAGGUUAGUCACUCGGCAACUUUCUCAACAUUUCUGUUGUGAAUCACGCUGCUACCAAGUUACUAUGGAAGACAAUAGAUCCAGUGUUUCAAGGGGGUUUCUCACUGUAAUUGUAGGAUAGGAUAAACUAAUUGUAUUGACACUGACAUUGCUGAAUCCAGCCAUCAUCAGUUUAUGUAUUGUCCCCUCUGGGCGUUUUUAUUGGACAAUGACAGUUUGCCUUAUCCGGAGUUAUUAACGUCAGCCAUGUUGUUUUAUAAAGGGAAUGGCCUGUGUUGCAUUUUACAUGACCAACUGGACUUUGGACCUCGUGAUUCACUUGUUCCCACCCUGCUCAUUUUUAUUGAGAAAGCUGUCCUGGCCAUUUCUGCUGUAGUCCUUAAAGCUACUGUGGCAUGAAAUGGUUUCACACUGUGCGGUGUGAAAACGGACACUUCAGAAAAGCCCUGACAUAAAUGAAAUAUAUUAAACAUACAAUACAAUAAUAAUAUGUGAGACCAAAUGUUGUCUGUGUUCCCCUCAUGGUCCUCGUAGGAGUUGUUUUCUAUGUUGUUUUUGCCUUGGGUAAAAUGAGUGCCAGUUGUCAGGGAUGUUUAUUAUUGUGUGCCUCCCAGCCUCUGUUCUGGACUGUGAAGAGACCUCUGGUGGCCGGCCUUGAGUGAUUUUCAUGGGACUUAACCUUGGUUCAACUUCAGUCUCAGUGACACAUUUCCAUCCUGUAAUAUAUUCUGUCUAUAUUAUACAGAAAAUGUAUCAUGUUUCGUAAUUCUAAAUGUUUCACAGCAAAGUAAAAAACCAUAAAGCAAUAACUGUGUUGUACAAUGUGAGCAGAUACUCGGUUUCCCCUGUUUCUGUGGCAAGUUCAAGAGGACAAGAGGGAGUUAAUGUAUUCUAUACCUCCAGAAGACGUGGAUGGAUCAGGAAAUGAUCUAGAAAGUUCUUCUUCUGGAGAAUUGGGGGAAGGGUCCGAAGACGGACAAAGUUCCAAUUACUACGUCACAAUUUCAAAACCCCACGGCAUCGACAGAGAAGACAAAGGCUUCCCAAUCAUAACCCGAAAUGAAAUACCAGAUGACACACACCAGACCUCUAACUUUUGGCCAGAGCUGGGAGACUACCCUGAAUCCAUCACUGGCAAUGUGGCAAAUAGCAGGAGUUUUCUAGUGAACAAAGAAGCUCUUGCAGCUAUCAUUGCAGGUGGUGUGGUGGGACUAGCAUUGGCUGCUAGCUUGCUAACACUGCUCAUCUAUAGCAUGAAGAAGAAAGACUGGGGAGACACUUCAAAGGGAGGAUAUUUGAAAGGCAAUACCAAGGAGUUUAUGGUGUAACUUUCCUAUGAAUGAAUGAAUGACUGCAAAUCGCUUUGGAUAUAAGUGUUGGCCAGAUGGGACGUGCUGUUAGUUUAAAACCAGGCGGAUUGAACCCUGAAUGUUGAUUGCAAGCUGUUGUAUACAAGACUAUAUCACGGGUGAUAAUAAAACAUGUAUUUUUACUGUUCAAAUGGCAAUAUGUUGUUCCACACUUUCCUGUCAAAUAAAGCAUAAAAUUGCCUGAAAAAUAUGUAUUUAAAAAAUACAUAUAUACCGUCACACUUUAUUUGCAUAGUCACAAUUACAAUCUGUUGAUGCUCUAGAGAUAUUUAUACUAUCCACAACAUAUAUGAAAAACUAAAUAAAUGCUUGUUAGGCUAGGGUUAGAUCAAGAAAGAGAGUUAGGGAAAGAAUUAAGGUUAUUGUAAGAAGAUAGUUAAUUGAAAUGUUAUAGAUGAUGUAGGUCAGUGGUUCCCAACCAGGGGUACUAGGACCCCUGGGGGUACUUGGCCUUUCCACAGGGGGUACUUGAAAACACUCAAGUACCCCACUAGUGAAAUGAACAUGAGGGGGUACUUCAGGGGUACUCCAAGCAGUGCAAAUUAUUUUUGGGGGUACAGUAACUGAAAAAGGUUGGGAGCCACUGAUGUAGAUUGUCUGAAAAUCAUCUGUAGAUUGACUUUACAAAUAAACUGUUACCAUAUGUACUGUAUAUGUGAUUACAAGUUUUCUGAACUUUAUUAGUGUUUCAGCAGUUCACUGGUGAAAUACUAUUGUUUUUGUAACAGUUAAUUAUUAUUAUUUUAAAUUGGAUUUCUGCAUGAAUCUUCCACAUAUAUGUUAUAAUCUUUAAAAUGGGUGUACUUUAUCGACAUUUUAAGUAUUGAUGUUAUGAAUCAACUGUGUUGAAAGUAUCACACCUUGAGAAUAAAUUGUAUCUUG